AGACAGGUGGUGCAUGGUUGUCGUCAGCUCGUGUCGUGAGAUGUUGGGUUAAGUCCCGCAACGAGCGCAACCCUUACCCUUAGUAGCCAGCACAAAAAAGGUGGGCACUCUAGGGGGACUGCCAGGGAGAACCUGGAGGAAGGUGGGGAUGACGUCAAAUCAUCAUGCCCCUUAUGGGCAGGGCUACACACGUGCUACAAUGGCGUAAACAAAGGGAGGCGAGGCCGCGAGGCGGAGCAAACCCCAAAAAUAACGUCCCAGUUCGGAUUGUAGCCUGCAACCCGGCUACAUGAAGCUGGAAUCGCUAGUAAUCGCGGAUCAGAAUGCCGCGGUGAAUACGUUCCCGGGUCUUGUACACACCGCCCGUCACACCAUGGGAGUUGGCAACGCCCGAAGUCAGUGACCCAACCGGAAGGGGGGAGCUGCCGAAGGCGGGGCCGGUAACUGGGGUGAAGUCGUAACAAGGUAGCCGUAUCGGAAGGUGCGGCUGGAUCACCUC
This 499-nucleotide ribosomal RNA is filed under the name uncultured bacterium. RNAcentral describes it as "bacterial SSU rRNA". It matches the Rfam family "Bacterial small subunit ribosomal RNA", at positions 1032 to 1529 of the family's 1533-position model. The record is from RNAcentral.